Long non-coding RNA from Fundulus heteroclitus (mummichog), 257 nucleotides. RefSeq lists it as uncharacterized. The record is from RefSeq and is a predicted model, not a curated record. Lineage: Eukaryota; Metazoa; Chordata; Actinopteri; Cyprinodontiformes; Fundulidae. The transcript is spliced from 2 exons.
CGCGUACGGGAAAGAGGAGACGGCGCGCGACUUCUUCCUCAGAGCUGUGAGGAGGAGGAUAGAAGCUUUUCAGAGUUAUCACCCUCCCGAAAGAGCUUGUGAUGCUCUUGGGUGUCCCCCUGUACGCUGAGACAGGAAGGAGCAACAGAGAACUGCGGUCAAGUGACAACUUUCACUUACAGAUGACAGAUGAUGAUCUCCAGAAGUCCAUCUACAUGAUUUGGGAUUUAAAAAUAAAGGCAUAAUCUCUACAUUGA